UGGGGAAUAUUGCACAAUGGGGGAAACCCUGAUGCAGCGACGCCGCGUGAGCGAAGAAGGCCUUCGGGUCGUAAAGCUCUUUUAUGAGGGAAGAUAAUGACGGUACCUCAAGAAAAAGCCCCGGCUAACUACGUGCCAGCAGCCGCGGUAAUACGUAGGGGGCUAGCGUUGUCCGGAAUCACUGGGCGUAAAGGGUUCGCAGGCGGAAUAACAAGUCAGAUGUGAAAGGCAUGGGCUCAACCCAUGUAAGCAUUUGAAACUGUAAUUCUUGAGAAGUUGAGAGGUAAGUGGAAUUCCUAGUGUAGCGGUGAAAUGCGUAGAUAUUAGGAGGAAUACCUGUGGCGAAGGCGACUUACUGGACACAAAUCUGACGCUGAGGAACGAAAGCGUGGGUAGCAAACAGG
Molecule: ribosomal RNA, 404 nt
Filed under: Verrucomicrobiota bacterium
Lineage: Bacteria; Pseudomonadati; Verrucomicrobiota
Description: Verrucomicrobia bacterium partial 16S ribosomal RNA
Rfam family: Bacterial small subunit ribosomal RNA
Source: RNAcentral